This 503-nucleotide ribosomal RNA is filed under the name uncultured bacterium. RNAcentral's name for it is "partial 16S ribosomal RNA". It matches the Rfam family "Bacterial small subunit ribosomal RNA", at positions 30 to 523 of the family's 1533-position model. The record is from RNAcentral.
AUUGAACGCUGGCGGCAGGCUUAACACAUGCAAGUCGAGCGGGGUGAUGGUGCUUGCACUAUCACUUAGCGGCGGACGGGUGAGUAAUGCUUAGGAAUCUGCCUAUUAGUGGGGGACAACAUCUCGAAAGGGAUGCUAAUACCGCAUACGUCCUACGGGAGAAAGCAGGGGAUCACUUGUGACCUUGCGCUAAUAGAUGAGCCUACGUCGGAUUAGCUAGGUGGUGGGGUAAAGGCCUACCAAGGCGACGAUCUGUAGCGGGUCUGAGAGGAUGAUCCGCCACACUGGGACUGAGACACGGCCCAGACUCCUACGGGAGGCAGCAGUGGGGAAUAUUGGACAAUGGGGGGAACCCUGAUCCAGCCAUGCCGCGUGUGUGAAGAAGGCCUUAUGGUUGUAAAGCACUUUAAGCGAGGAGGAGGCUCUUUUGGUUAAUACCCAAGAUGAGUGGACGUUACUCGCAGAAUAAGCACCGGCUAACUUUGUGCCAGCCGCCGCGGUAA